AGAAAAAGAAACAAGAAAAUAAAAUGAGGAGAGAUCAGUUAAAUGAUGAGUAUCUGGAAUUAUUAGAGAAACAACGGCUCUACUUUAAAACAGUGAAAGACUUUAAAGAGGAGUGCCGGAAGAAUGAAAUGCUGCUUUCAAAGUUAAGAGCUAAGGGGGCAUCCUAGACACCAUUGUGAAAUCAAAAUAUCCUUUUUUUCUUUUUUUUUUUUUUUUUGUGUAAUCAAGACCUACUAAUCUUAAAUGGAAAGCCUUAUGUGUUGCAUCUAAGUCAAGUUCAUCCACAUUUUUGCAGUUUAAGCUACAUGAAAGAAAUUAAAUAUUUGCAAAAAUGUGGUUAAAUAAAUUGACAAAGUUUUGACGAGAUCCCGUUUAACAAAGUGUUUAAACUUAAUGGAUGAAAUACAUAUUCUCUGUUUCUGUCUGUUCAGUUCUCAUUUACAAUUAAUAUAGAAUAUAGGUAUAACAAAACAUAAUGUGGUUUUUAAUCUAUACAUGUAGUACUAUACAUUUAUGAACAUACUAAACCCAGAUAUGUCAAGGAAACUUCUCCUUUUUAUAAGUAAUGUUUGUUUUUUUCAUUACUUUUACAUAAUAGAUGUCAAAGGUGUAUGCAAAUUUUUGUCAUUUCAUUAUAUUGUAGUGUAUUGCAUGUCUUAUUUAACUCAUUAUAUACUGUAUGAUUCUGUCUUCAUCUUUAGCGGCUGUAGAUAAACCUGACUGGAAUAUGUUAAAACCGUUGUGAACUGUAGGACAAAAAUAAACAAGGUUGGAAUGCA
Polyodon spathula (Mississippi paddlefish) is the source of this 779-nucleotide long non-coding RNA. RefSeq lists it as uncharacterized. The record is from RefSeq and is a predicted model, not a curated record. The transcript is spliced from 2 exons. Lineage: Eukaryota; Metazoa; Chordata; Actinopteri; Acipenseriformes; Polyodontidae.